CAGCCGCCGCGGUAAUACGAGGGGGGCAAGCGUUGUUCGGAAUUAUUGGGCGUAAAGGGUGCGUAGGCGGUUUCGUAAGUCUGAUGUGAAAUCUAUGGGCUCAACCCAUAGUCUGCAUCGGAAACUGCGAGGCUUGAGAGUGGGAGAGGUGAGUGGAAUUUCCGGUGUAGCGGUGAAAUGCGUAGAUAUCGGAAGGAACACCUGUGGCGAAAGCGGCUCACUGGACCAUUUCUGACGCUGAUGCACGAAAGCUAGGGGAGCAAACAGGAUUAGAUACCCCGGUAGUCCCUUUCUCUUAUAC
Molecule: ribosomal RNA, 301 nt
Filed under: uncultured bacterium
Lineage: Bacteria
Description: partial 16S ribosomal RNA
Rfam family: Bacterial small subunit ribosomal RNA
Source: RNAcentral